GCUGUUGUAAAUCCAGCAGCCGGGUUUGGUCACCCGCAAUCAUCAAGGCGCAUCAGCGCCGCUCAGCGAAUCAGUCGGCGUUUUU
RNAcentral lists this small RNA (85 nucleotides) under Pseudomonas parafulva. RNAcentral describes it as "isrK". The record is from RNAcentral. Lineage: Bacteria; Pseudomonadati; Pseudomonadota; Gammaproteobacteria; Pseudomonadales; Pseudomonadaceae.